UGGGGAAUCUUGCGCAAUGGACGAAAGUCUGACGCAGCCACGCCGCGUGAGUGAAGAAGGCCUUCGGGUUGUAAAGCUCUGUCGGAAGGGACGAAAAUGGUUGAGGUUAACAGCCUCAGCAACUGACGGUACCUUCAAAGGAAGCACCGGCUAACUCUGUGCCAGCAGCCGCGGUAAUACAGAGGGUGCAAGCGUUGCUCGGAAUUAUUGGGCGUAAAGGGUAGGUAGGUGGUCUGAUUUGUCUGUUGGUGAAAUCCCGGGGCUUAACUCCGGAAGUGCCACAGAAACGGUCAGACUUGGAGUACUGGAGAGGUGAGCGGAAUUCCCGGUGUAGCGGUGAAAUGCGUAGAGAUCGGGAGGAACACCAGCGGCGAAGGCGGCUCACUGGACAGUUACUGACACUCAACUACGAAAGCGUGGGGAGCAAACAG
Molecule: ribosomal RNA, 431 nt
Filed under: uncultured bacterium
Lineage: Bacteria
Description: bacterial SSU rRNA
Rfam family: Bacterial small subunit ribosomal RNA
Source: RNAcentral